UGAACGCACGUCAAUCCAGCACUUUUUUUGUGCUACUACAAAAACUCAGUCAAAAAUGUCAGCUUUAUGAAUCGUUUAACAAAUGAGUUAUAAACACGUAUAAACUAGCAGACAAAACAAGGCAGAACUAAUGUAAAUGUUUUGUCGUGAAUGAAACUCUUUUAGCGGGGCUAAUGCAAUUCUAAAACAAGCUAGCUAACAACUGUCAUUUAAAUUAGCCGGUGUGUUGACAAGCUUUCUGAAGGCCAGGUUUUUGGCCUUUAAAGUUAAGGCUGUUUCUGAAGUACCCGAUUAAAGGACGUGCAAAUAUCACUACAUGAUCCGUCGAUAGAGUUCCUCUCCACUGAAGAGUAAGGCAGCUGCUAAGAUGACUCAUUCUGCUAAAAUGGGAAUUCAACAUCCUCAAAAGACUGCACACGCCAGAGUCCUGAGGUAUGUAAGAGUAAGAUCCUCUCUUUCACAAGGGGACCAGGUUGCCCUUAAAAGACUGAACAGGAUGAGGACACAAUCCAAAGUGUGUGUGACUAGACACAGUCAAACUGCGAGAAAGAGAAGAAGAAAACCCCUUAAACUCAAGCUUCACUGUGAAGAUAUGUCCCCUAAAAAACAAAAUGAAUUGUCCCUUAUUUAGAAAAAAGAAAACAUGGACGUCCUACAGUAUAUUCUGCACUGGACAAAGAGGAGGGUUGAAAUGAACGGGGGAGUAUGAGCUGCACUGAUUUUUAUUGUAAACAAGUGGAAGAGGAGCCAGCAGACCCUGAGACACAUGAAAUCUGCCAUGUAACAUAGUUUGGGAAUUGGGAAUUUGAAGGCCUGGAGGCAUUUGUGGAAGGAGAGCCUGAGCCACGCUUAACUGGACACUAUGAGGAGACACCAGCAGCCGAGGCAGAGGAAAGCAACACAAAUUUGUCUCUGCAGGAGUUGGAUCUUUGUCCGUGCUGCACACAUCCUUCAGACUCUGUUUUCCUGCAGCAGCAUGUCAAGCAUCAUCACCGGGAUCAUGUCUAUUGUCAACUUGGUCCUCUAGAUACCAGUCCCUCAAAGCUCUCUCUAGUAAAGUGACUUUGGAACAUUUUGUCCCCAAGAAACACGUGCAUUCAUAUUCAUGCAAAAU
Long non-coding RNA from Eleginops maclovinus (Patagonian blennie), 1114 nucleotides. RefSeq lists it as uncharacterized. Lineage: Eukaryota; Metazoa; Chordata; Actinopteri; Perciformes; Eleginopidae. The transcript is spliced from 3 exons. The record is from RefSeq and is a predicted model, not a curated record.